Molecule: long non-coding RNA, 991 nt
Organism: Hyaena hyaena (striped hyena)
Lineage: Eukaryota; Metazoa; Chordata; Mammalia; Carnivora; Hyaenidae
Exons: 3
Source: RefSeq, a predicted model, not a curated record
CCGGUGCGUGCUGACCCGGUUCAGGUGGUGAGUGCUGUGCCCGGUGUGUUUUGACGCAGGACAAAGAAUCGAAGCGCCUCGCGUUGGGGUCCCCGCCCCGACAGCCCGUCAAGCGUGUUGGCACCCGAGGGCCCGCGUGAGUCGAGGAAGGCGGCGUGUGGCCCCGGCCCGGCCCGCCCGCAGGAGGCCGGGAACGCGGGGUCUCAGGUCAAGUGUUGCCUCCUCUGAGAAGUCCUCCCUCACCACUCACUCUGUCUAUAUCCCCAAGCCCCAGCCCACCUUAGUUCUCCUCCUCAUCACCCUGGGAUCAAAAUGCCAGACACACCCGUGCAACCAGCGCCCGUCCCAGAAGCAGAGCGUGUCGCACAGGGGUCAGUAAAGGACUGCGGCCCGGAAGCUUUGGAGACGUUGUCCGUUCCCUCGUGAUGCAGACAGAGCCGGACCAGCAUCAGUCCCACUCCAAGGGCUCACGGGCGUAAGGGAGCACAGACGACGAGGAGCUGAGUGAGGGACGGAGACCAUGCUGGGGGCAGAGGUGGGGGGGCAAGUAGGGAGGGGCAAGCCGGGCCUGCACGACUCCUCACGGGAGCACUCCGGAGCACGCCUGGUCAGGCCGGCUGUGGCUGUGAGGAGACCCCCUCCGGAUCCCAGGCAGGCGGAGCUGGGGGCAGUGAGGUGUGUGUGCUGCAAAGUGCAUCCCCCAGGAAGGUGGGAGUGUUCCAGAAAGCGCAGGAUUCGGGGGAAGGGGUCUCGCUGUGGCUGGGGGAGGGACACUGUCCCACUCCUCCGUGGAGCACCUCAGGUGUGCAGGCCCGGGGCCAGGAUUUUCACAAGAACCACCUCCUCCAACGUCACAACCCCAGUGAGGCUGGUUGUCCUCACCGGGAGGGCACUGAGCUGUCCUCGCGCCUGCCCUGGCCGCUCUGAUGGCAUCUCCGGAACCCGCCCAGAACCACCCUGCAGGAAGCAGUUCCGGAGGGAGAGGGGCGCA